Molecule: long non-coding RNA, 1117 nt
Filed under: Piliocolobus tephrosceles (Ugandan red Colobus)
Lineage: Eukaryota; Metazoa; Chordata; Mammalia; Primates; Cercopithecidae
Description: lncRNA (ENSPTEG00000031680.1)
Source: RNAcentral
CAAGAGAGUGACCAUAGCACUGUUACUUGGCAGCACUAUUGUUUUCUUUCUUUCUUUAAAUAUUUUUAAUUACUUGUAUUUCUGGUGAGAUUAAUUCUUUCUUUCUUUUUUUAUUUUUAAGAUUCUGAAAACCCUGUCACCUGCUUUAUUUCUGGAGAAGGGUAAAGGGAGAAGGGAAAAUAUUCACUUGAAUUUGAGGGGCAGCUAACCUGGAAGCAACAAUUUCAGGCCUCUAAGUUUCCUCUGAUCCAUAAGGGAAUGCUGAAACUUCCUUGUUUGGAGAUCCAAAGAGUUUAAUUUUUCCCUAGAGCAAGAUCAACAAUUUUCACUGGGAUGAAAGAAUAAAGAACAAACUCAAUAGCACCAAAUGGGGCUUUAACACAGAAAACAGGGCCAUUCUUUUUAAAUGCAAAUUUUUACAUUAAAAUAUGUUUAUAAAUCAUAGUAGGUGUUCUUCCUCUUGAUUCAACAUUUCUCCCUUCCCUAACAGGAGCCCUGGAACCUGAAGAGCAUGUACAUUGCUAACCAGACAUACAAUCCAGCCGCUCUGUCCAAAUUGGAAUCUGAUUGCUAAUGGACUAGACUUGGGCCUGCCCCAAGGGAUGGGCAGCAGUAACUAUGCUCUCAGGGAGAAUGGGUACUGAGGAUGCCACCAGUCAAAGAGCCGAACGCUGUGCACUGGGUCCAGGAUGACUUGCACACCCUGCUCACUGUGCAGUUUCCGACCACCACGGACAGGGGAAUCUUGGAACACCAGUCUCACUCGAUGAUGCCACAUGUCCGUGCUCACACUGAUAGUAAACUGUUUUUUGAACUUGAAGUUGAAUUCCCACAUUGGUUCCUGUCUGUUCCCAACAAUCUUGCUGCAUCAGAAAAGUAAGCAUUUGGAAUUCUUUCAUGCGCUGGGGGUGCUUUCUGGAAUGGCUGGAUUCUUGGAGAUUCGAGCAGCAAAUGGCUCAUACAUAUGGUACAGAGAGAUCGGAUCACACAAGCCCGGAGACAGUGCAGCUUCUCCAUUGACUCUGGUCGCAGACGCAAAGGCAGGGAAGCAUCCAGCGGGUAGUGCCUUCGGUAUGACCUGGUCCAAAAAGUAGCAGUGCAAGUGACAAUCCAGGCA